GACGAACGCUGGCGGCGUGCUUAACACAUGCAAGUCGAACGGAAAGGCCCGGCGUUUGUGGGGUGCUCGAGUGGCGAACGGGUGAGUAACACGUGAGUAACCUGCCCUUGACUUUGGGAUAACUUCAGGAAACUGGGGCUAAUACCGGAUAGGAGCUCCUGCUGCAUGGGGGGGGUUGGAAAGUUUCGGCGGUUGGGGAUGGACUCGCUGGUUAUCAGCUUGUUGGUGGGGUAGUGGCGUACCAAGGUUUCGACGGGUAGCCGGCCUGAGAGGGUGACCGGCCACAUUGGGACUGAGAUACGGACCAGACUCCUACGGGAGGCAGCAGUGGGGAAUAUUGCACAAUGGGCGGAAGCCUGAUGCAGCAACGCCGCGUGCGGGAUGACGGCCUUCGGGUUGUAAACCGCUUUCGACUGUGACGAAGCGUGAGUGACGGUAAUGGGUAAAGAAGCCCCGGCUAACUACGUG
Molecule: ribosomal RNA, 468 nt
Filed under: uncultured bacterium
Lineage: Bacteria
Description: partial 16S ribosomal RNA
Rfam family: Bacterial small subunit ribosomal RNA
Source: RNAcentral